RNAcentral lists this long non-coding RNA (819 nucleotides) under Musa acuminata (dwarf banana). Its description in RNAcentral is "long non-coding RNA (MACU_LNC002027)". The record is from RNAcentral. Lineage: Eukaryota; Viridiplantae; Streptophyta; Magnoliopsida; Zingiberales; Musaceae.
UGCGCUCGAGCUCGGGAGACCUUCACGAUGGCCACCGAUGAGACCACUGAUCCGAGACCGGUGGCGAAGUCGAAGAAGGCGAAGGCCCCCAAGGAGGCCAGGGCCAAGAAGGCUGCCGCCCCCAGGAAGCCUUCCGCCCAUCCUCCCUACGCCGAGGUGAGGAUCUUAUCUUCUUGGAGCCUUAGUUUGCUUUCGCUUGGCCCGUUUCCGUGGAUCUGAAGCUGUUUUCUUUGGUGCUUAGAUGAUCAAGGAGGCGAUCACAACGCUCAAGGAGAGAACCGGGUCGAGCCCGUACGCCAUCGGGAAGUUCAUCGAGGACAAGCACAAGGCUCACCUCCCGUCCAACUUUCGAAAGAUCCUCUUCCUCCAGCUGAAGAAGCUCGCCGCCGCCGGGAAGCUCACCAAGGUGAAGAGCUCCUACAAGCUCUCUACCAUCGUGCAUGCCGCGCCGGCUGAGCCCAAGUCUGCGGCGGGCCCCAAGAAACCAGCCGCCGUACAGACGAAGCUUAAGGCUAAGGCGAAGCCUGCCGCUGCCGCUUCGAAAACCAAGGCCAAGAUCGCUACCACUGCGAAGGCUAAAUCCAAGCAUGUAGCAUCUACGGUCAAGCCCAAACCGAAGGCGGCCGCGGCGAAGCCGAGGGUGGCCCCGAAGCGCAAGUCCCCGGUGAAGCCUAAGCCCAAGCCCAAGCCUAGGCCGACCAGGGCCGCGAAGACCACCGCGAAGGAGUCCCCGGGGAAGAAGGCAGCAAAGAGAACGUCGAGUCGGUCGGCGCCCACGAAGAAGCCGAAGCCAGCGGUGAAGAAAGCGGCGGCGGCGGC